UACAGAGGGUGCGAGCGUUGUCCGGAAUCACUGGGCGUAAAGGGCGCGUAGGCGGCUUGAUAAGCGUGCGGUGAAAGCCCGGGGCUCAACCCCGGGUCGGCCGUGCGAACUGUCGAGCUGGAGCACUGUAGAGGCAGGUGGAAUUCCGGGUGUAGCGGUGGAAUGCGUAGAGAUCCGGAAGAACACCGGUGGCGAAGGCGGCCUGCUGGGCAGUGGCUGACGCUGAGGCGCGACAGCGUGGGGAGCAAGCAGG
RNAcentral lists this ribosomal RNA (253 nucleotides) under uncultured bacterium. Its description in RNAcentral is "partial 16S ribosomal RNA". It matches the Rfam family "Bacterial small subunit ribosomal RNA", at positions 524 to 776 of the family's 1533-position model. The record is from RNAcentral.